Molecule: ribosomal RNA, 305 nt
Filed under: uncultured bacterium
Lineage: Bacteria
Description: partial 16S ribosomal RNA
Rfam family: Bacterial small subunit ribosomal RNA
Source: RNAcentral
UGUACCUACGGGGGGCAGCAGUGGGGAAUAUUGCACAAUGGGGGAAACCCUGAUGCAGCGACGCCGCGUGAGUGAAGAAGUAUCUCGGUACGUAAAGCUCUAUCAGCAGGGAAGAAAAAAAGUCUUUGGCUUUGGACGGUACCUGACUAAGAAGCCCCGGCUAACUACGUGCCAGCAGCCGCGGUAAUACGUAGGGGGCAAGCGUUAUCCGGAUUUACUGGGUGUAAAGGGAGCGUAGACGGUGUGGCAAGUCUGAAGUGAAAGCCCGGGGCUCAACCCCGGGACUGCUUUGGAAACUGUCAUGC